Molecule: long non-coding RNA, 1588 nt
Filed under: Gossypium raimondii (Peruvian cotton)
Lineage: Eukaryota; Viridiplantae; Streptophyta; Magnoliopsida; Malvales; Malvaceae
Description: long non-coding RNA (GRAI_LNC007168)
Source: RNAcentral
CAAAAGGUAAGCAAUAGCGGCAUUUUUCUGAUAAACGUCGCAAAAAGUGAGCAAAAACGCCGCAAAUAAGUAGUUAAUUUUUGAGAAACAGCGCCGUUUUGCAAAAACCCAAAAUCUCUCGUCUGUCCCAAAACCCUUUCCUUCUUUCCCAAUUUUUUCCCAAAACCCUUUUUCCCAAAUCAGUUCCACCUCCCUCCCCGAAAUCCCUAAUUUUUUCCCCAAUCCCUUUCUUUUUGUCACAGUUGUCCUUCAAUUCUCUAUAUUUUCCUUCAAAUCGCUUUAUUCCAACUGAUUCUUUGCCUUCUCCCUUUCGUUUCGUUUCCUUCGUUUCAUUUCCUUUCCAUAGCUUUCGGUGGUGGGUGCUUUUCCAUUCUCUUAAUUUCCCUUUCCGCUUUUGUAUUUUUGUCUAUCUAUGAUUGAUUUUAUUUUCUCUUUUAAUAAAAUUAUUUUAGUUCAUUUUAAUUUUACUCAUGUUGAAUAUGUGAUUCAAUCGAAUUUGCCCUUUUUUUCUCUGCUUAUUUUAGGGUUUAAGGGUGUUUUGAUGUUUUUAAGUUUAGUUUUACUCUCCAAAACUUGAUGCUUUUUCCACCGUUUGAUUAUCGUGUAUGGAAUCAAAUGAUAUCACUGGUUGGUUUGUAAGUUUUGUAUUUUUCCCAAUUUUAUAUGCUUGUUUUUCAUUGAUUCAUGCAACUAUUGUCUGUUUGUAAAAACAUAAUUAACUCUCACUCACAAACCCCAUUUCUUCCAUUCUUCCUCACUUUUUUAAGCCUUCACUAGUGUUUAGGGUUUAAAGUUUGAAGAUUUUGAACUAAAAGGAUUUUGAUUGUUCCUUAAAGUUUUCACCUUGCUUAGAUGUAAACAAACUGACAUGUUUUUGGCAACAAAGGUCCAGUCUUUUUAGUCCCACAAAGAAGAUUGCUAUUUUUUUUAAUGUUUUGUUGAAGAAAAGUAGAAAAAAAAGAGCUGGCUUUCGGACUUUGGGGUGUUAAUAGUUUGGUUGAAGAAAGAAGAAAGUGAAAACACUGAAGCAGAAAGCUUUUUACUUUGGGUGUCACUUGGAAUUUUUCCCUUGUUGAAUUUGGGUCUUGAAAGCUCAUUGUUAUGCUUCAAAUUGGAUGUAUCCUACCAUGGAUUCUUCUUUGACUAAAAUAUAAUAGUCCACUAUGAGUGUUUAGACUAUGAGUGCCAGAUACAGAUAUAUUGAAAUCUUUUUUUUUCGAGAUUUUCAUAUGUUUCGAAGGUUCUAUUGCAUUUAGGUUUGCUUUAUAUAUGGAUGAUUCCAUGUUACAAUAGUUGAAUGUAGAUGAUUUCAAAGAACACAAUUGUUGAUUAGAUGAUGGUUUACUUUUGUGAUGAAUGUUGUUCGAUAAUCACGGUCUUUAAUUCUAGUUAACUUACUGUCCGUAAUAUCUUCAAUGAUCCUUUUCAUGGUUGUUCAGCUUUAGAUUAUUUUCGUUGGUUGCAUAGUGCUAUUCCAGUGUGUGAUAGAAAUACAGUAUAUUUAUAAAUACAAAUUCGAGGAAUUACAAGUAUCACGUUAUUAUAAUUAGAUUGUUUGAAUAAUCAGUUUAGUGGUUAAAAUUUUGUU